This 88-nucleotide non-coding RNA is filed under the name Clostridiaceae bacterium. RNAcentral describes it as "c-di-GMP sequence". It matches the Rfam family "c-di-GMP-I riboswitch aptamer". From Rfam's summary of the family: GEMM was predicted in a large-scale screen for bacterial structured RNA regulatory elements. Genes associated with GEMM are involved in a diverse array of functions, including chemotaxis regulation, signal transduction, secretion and chitin. The record is from RNAcentral. Lineage: Bacteria; Bacillati; Bacillota; Clostridia; Eubacteriales; Clostridiaceae.
UAAUGUUAAUGGCAAACCCACUGAAAAGCGGGGACGCAAAGUUAUAGGGUCUAAGGUGCUACAGCACUACGAUAGCCUGGUUGCCGCA